This is a non-coding RNA of Dermacentor albipictus, 4995 nucleotides long. Lineage: Eukaryota; Metazoa; Arthropoda; Arachnida; Ixodida; Ixodidae. The record is from RefSeq and is a predicted model, not a curated record.
GUGCGUUCGCGUCGCACGCUGUGCGAAGUAAUUUUAAACGUGUGAUUAGUUUUGCGCGCGGGGUAGAAAAAGAUGUGGCCCAUGCUUUGUGUAUUACUCGUGCCCCACUUCAAAGCAAAGCGUUCGUACGCACUGGAAGAUGGAUCCACGAAGGCUGAAACGAGAAGUUGCAACGUGCCCGGUCGGUAGUACUGGCAAGAUGGAAACUUUCAGGCAAGUGCCCCUUUAUUUGGUAUUUGUUUUGUUCGCUUUAGAAAUAUCUCACUGUGAUCUCGUAGCAUAAUUCAUAAUUCGCUAGUGUAAGAGCAAGAGCAGCUGCACUCCUGCUAGGGCAAGUUAACUACCUAGAUCGCGUCCCGUGUGACUAAUGUUUGUCAAAUCUACAUCGGGCGUGGUGCGCCUGCAUAGUUACGCUUUGUUUCUCAGCGCUUGCAUGUUCAUUGAUGUGAUUCUCUUGUGCGUUCAGCGCGGCUGCUUGUAAUACGGUCGUUCGCACUUCAGUCAAAUGUGGUUGACCACUUUUGCGUCGCGUAGAAAAAGGACUGGCUUAGCCACAUUUCGAAGGAACCGGCGCGGUAUUGGUUCUCCCUGAUGCGGUCGCGUGCUGCUGUUGCUGCUUGCCGGACGCCUUCAGCAUUUUUUCGGCUGGCUUUGUCUGUGCGUCUGCGCGUGCUCGCGCUCGGCUUGAUUUGUGUGUGCGUGCGUGUGUGCGCUCAGCUCAGCUCGCUUUGUGUGUGUGUGCGUGCGUGCGCUCGGCUCGCUGUGUGUGUGUGUGUGUGCGUGCGCGUGCGUGCGUGCGUGCGUUCAAUACAUGCCGGUUUGUAUGGGCCGGCGUGUUUGCGCGUGUCUAGUGCGUACGUGUUUUGUGAGUGUGUUGUCUGUGGGUCGCUGUGUGUGCGUGCACGUGUUAGCGUGUCUGCCUGCAUGCAUGUAUGUGUGCUUGUUUGUGUUCAUCAAUGUGCGCGUGCGCGCUUUUGUGUCUGCGCUUUGAGAGUGCGUAUACCUGUGUGUGCGUGUGGGUGCGUUUUGUGUGCGUGCGUAUGUAUUGCAUGAGGCCGGUAGAGUUUUACUCGCAGCAAAACUCUUCCGAUUCGGUGCAGCGAGUGUUCCCGCCUGAAAGCCGAGUUUGGUUUCAAGCCACCCUGGACAACUGUUGUAUGAGGCGCCGUUUCUCGGGAGGACCAGUGGGAAGGUGCCAAGUAUACGCUUCGUCCUUUUUCCUCCCAUGCCCUGAUGAAUCGAUAUCCUUGUUUUUUAUUGUGAAAGGAACGUUACAUCCAGAGCAUAAAUAAAUGAUUAAGAAAUCUGGUAGUGUGUUUCGCCAUUACAAUAAUUCCGAUCUCAAAGACGUGGAUUUCCCAUUAGCCCACAUUUCUUUUGAUGCAGACAACCGCUGAAAUUGUUAGCGGCAGGUUAUUCGAGACGUUCUACGUAUAUAGCAAUUGUCUUCAGGAGCUUUAAUGAAUUUUGAAAAUUUGAAGUGUUGUGCUUUAGAGGUAUCUUAUACAAGCUUAAGGUCUCCGGGUAAUUUGUAUGCCCUUCGAGAGCUGUCGCCUAUAGCCCUAUUGAAAUUCGUAACUACAGUUUGGAGCACUGGGGAAGCUAGAAGGCUUGUCCUGGCUCUCGAGAAAGUGUUUAAGCUGGAGGUGUAGGUUGAGGAGUUUGGGGUUGGUAACACAAAGGAUUUUUUAUGCCUUAGCAGUAGGAGUGACACAGGAUAAAAAAAUGUAUGUGUGUCAAGCACAGGAAGCUGCUCAUGUGGUAGAAGCAUGUGUGUGUGUGUGUGCGCGCGCCCAUGCAUGCGUGCGUGUGUGUGAAUUCUCCUCAAAAGGGAGUAUGUGUGUAAGUGAGCUAUUUCAUUGCUGGUCUGUUUACCAAGAAUUGGCAAGAAAACACAACAAUCAAUUUAACUUGAAAUAAUAAACUUCAAGGCGUACUGGCGACAGCAGCAUAAGCAUGCUGCUGUUUGACAAUCUUAAUGCAUGACUGCAACAUCUCGAAGGAGGCUUGCUUCUUCUUCAGUAAGCAGCACAAAGUCCAUAUUCUUGGCUUUUCUCGUGCAAAUGAAAACGAGGCUCAUUGCCAAUGAUCUUGUCUUUUGCUCUAAUAGCAUUUGUUUAUCUUGUACUUAGAGCGUCGUUUCUCGCAGGUCAUGCAGAUGGUAGCAGCAAUUUCACAAUGCCCAGCCUUGGCACCCCCCAUCAAGAGCAAGCCACUUGCGUUCGCCUUCAGACAGAUGGUUAAUGUCUUCUUGAAAGCAGUUGAGAAGACAACAUUGAUGCAAGAUUCCAGCAAUGCCAUGCGCUGCAUUUAUUGGUCAAGAUGCUCAGAGAAUGGAGUCCCUGCACCUCGUGGUUAACCGUGAACAUUUCUUUUUCUUUUGGAAAGCUAAAGGCCAUUUGCUGCAUCACUUGCAUUUUUGCAGCUCAGAUGUGUACUAUAUUUUUCUAAUUUUGAAUCAAUAUUGGCUGUUCAGUAUAAAAAAUGACGUACAGCGUGAAGGACAAGGACUGCGAGAGACACACUCCACUGACUUUCAACAAUAUUUUAUUGCGUUGCCACAUCGUGUGUGUAUACACAGAGGGGUCAUGCGCAGAAAAUGAAAGCCAGUCACAAGGGGUGUUCUAACAGCAAGUCAUUGUAAAAAGAACAUGGUCACUUGAAAAAAAAAACAUCACAAUUUCUAUCUGUUUAGAUACAAAAUUUCACUAGGGGUCAGCGUGAUAGAGGGGGCACUAACGCACACACUACCCAGUUUUCUGGUGAAAUCAGCUUCAAUAAUUUACCGGGUGAGCUGUGUCUCGCUAAAACUUCCGUAUCUUAAAGAGGGGCAUGCAGCCGCAGUCCCGGCAAUGAAUGCCCAAGUGGCCUUGAACAGUGUUAUUGACGUUGUUAUAGUGCUCUCUUAAACGAUCAUUUAGGCGCCUGCCUAUCUGUCCAAUAUAUUUACUGCCUCAAAAUGGGAAUUUGGGAAACCACAUUCGUUGCACACAUCGCAAAACGUUUUCUGUGCCCGGCAGAGCAACAACUCUGACGUGAUUUAGGCGCGUUUACACACUUACAGAGCCUUGCCAGCUUUUCCGGGGCUGAGAAAAGGACUGUGAUUUCUGCAGGUUCCCUAAUCUUUUUUAGCCUAUGGGAGACAUCAUGAACAUACGGUAGCACUGCAAACCUGUGUCUUUCAACCGGCUGGUUCCUUGACCGAGCGCGCUCAUCAUGUUUUGUGCACUUCAGAAGCUGUUCCGCUAUGGCUGAAAUUAAGGCCAAAGGGUAGCCAACCCAAGAAAGGCAAUCAGCCUGUGCAGCAACGCUAUGUUGCAUCUCGUGUGAGCAAGAUUUAUUGAGGCUGUUAAGGAGGCAAAGCUUUACAAUAUCUCAUUUGACUUUGUUGGACAGACAGGCAGGCGCCUAAACAAUCAUUUAGGAGAGCACGAUAACAACGUCCAUAACACUGUUCAAGGCCACUUCGGCAUCCAUUGCUGGGACUGCGGCUGCGUGCCCCUCUUUGAAGGUACGGAAGCUUUAGCGAGACACAGGUCAUCCGGGAAACUAUAGAAGCAGAUUUCACUAGAAAACUGGUUAGUGUGUGCGUUAGUGACCCCUCUAUCGUGCUGACCCCUAGUGAAGUCUUGUAUCUCAACAGAUAGAAAUUCUAAUGUUUAUUUUUUUCAAAGGACGAUGUUCUUAGUACAGUCACUUGCUGUUAGACACCCCUUGUGACUCAUAUUCUGCGCAUGCCCGCUUUUGUACAAAUACACAUGAUGUGGCAACGUAAUUAAAUAUUGUUGGAAGUCAGCGCAGUCUGUCAUCUCUCGCAGUUCUUGUCAUUCAAGCUGUACGUAAUUUUAUCUCAUUAAUUGCAAACUAUCCCAAGAAACUACCCUUGUUCAGUAUAAUUAUAAUGUUUGAUACGACCAUUUGCUGGCAAAUGUUAACAGUGUGAUAUUUAACUUGAACUUUUGCAUGACUGCCUAUGCCUGUGUUCUUUUAGUAACCAGAGUAUGGCUAAUUUAUUAAACCAUAUUUGCUAAUUUGCAUGCUCACAUGCUAUAGCAUGCCUUAAUCUUGAAUUACUGCAUCUAAGUGCAAAUAAUUUAGAAAUUUACUAUGUAUUUUAAAACACUGUCCACAUUUUGUGCUCAGCAAAAUCGUUUAAUCAACAGUGGUUUGUUUUUAUCAGGCCUCCUACUGCACUUUGCACCCAGGCACUAGUAGAUGUGGAAUAUGCACUCUUUUGAUUUAUAGUAAGAAAAGAACCUAUUUUCAAACUACAUAUUGUAUAUGUACCAGUGCCUUAGAGUUACAAAACAAAAAUUUAUAGAAACUGGUAUUGUAGUUAGAAAAACCGCUACACAGCACCUUUAGCCCAGAGAACUCUCGUUUCACAGAAGAGGACAAACUAUGUAGGCACUAAAAAAUUCUACGUAUUUUUUGUGCUCAAGUAAUCUUGUUGGAAAUAGAAAAUUAGCAAUAAGGCUCCUGGCAUAAACCUCACUUAAAGCAUGUCUAUGCUUGGAAAGUAUUGUUUCAGUCUGAAAAAUGUUGGCCAGUUAUGCUUUACAUCGACUUUCCAAACUUUUCAUAAUGCUUUGCGAUUACAUUAGUGUACAAAAUAACAGGUGCCUUUCUUGUGCGUUUGCUCUGCAUUUCAAUUGCUUCCCUAAUUCACCUUUGCAAUAUGCCUUUUUUAAGGCAUCAAAACUUGAAUUUUCGUUCACUGGAGCCUAAUACUAAAAAUUUAUUCCUUUAUGUGACCCAAAACACUGCGAAUCAAUCCAGGCUCUUUCAGUGCCGCUAUACAUAGUUUCUUCUCUAAUAACAGAUUUGAUCAAUACUAAUAUUUUAGGUACCUUUGUGGGGAAUGUAAAUGUUCUUGUACUUACCGAUGUGUUUGGUGAUUGUGCAUGUUUAUAUUUCAUGUGAUUUAUGUAUAUGUUGUACUCUGUAUUGCAGCAUGCAAUAAAUAUAUUUGCGUUUUCUUGAAAAUGCAGCAUA